UACGGCAGUCCUCUGUGAGACCUUGAAGGGAGAGGUGCCGCCGCCUGCCUCCCUCCCUGCCUCCCUCACUCCCUCUCCCCGCCUCGCUGCCUCGCCGCUCCUCCACUAGAUACCGUGGCCCCACCAGCAGCCCUUGAAGAUGACCUUAAAUCCGCAGUUCCAACAGAUCGGGGAGACCUUUGUCAAACAGUACUACCUUAUUUUUGACGGCGAGAGAGAAGGCAGGGAGAAGCUGGCAAACUUCUAUCACGCAGAACUGUCUUUAAUGUCCUUUGAGGGAGUCCAGGUGCAAGGAGCCGUUCAAAUCCUGGAGAAGAUUAAGAGCUUGACCUUCAACAAAAUAGCCCGAGCCAUCACUACUGUUGACUGCCAGCCCACGUUUGACGGCGGCGUUUUAGUCAACAUUCUCGGACAGUUGAAGAUGGAUGAUGACCCUCCUCAUGGAUUCAAUCAAACCUUUGUGCUCAAACCUCUUGGCGACAGUUUCUUCGUCCAACACGACAUGUUUCGGCUGGCGCUCCACCACAUUGCUGUGUGAGUGGAGGGCCCGUUCACUGCAUCUUAAGGUGGCAAAGAGCAUCUGUAGUUGAUUCUCUGCUCCAUCAUCUUACUGGAAGAUGGAUGAGGACCCGGUACAUGGAUUUUCCCAGACAUUUGUCCUCAAACCUAUGAAUGAUUCUUUCUUCAUCCAGCACGAUUCCUUCCGCCUGGUCAUCCAUAAUAACUAGAGGAUCACCCACCCACCCACCCGCCC
Molecule: unclassified non-coding RNA, 754 nt
Filed under: Portunus trituberculatus (swimming crab)
Lineage: Eukaryota; Metazoa; Arthropoda; Malacostraca; Decapoda; Portunidae
Description: probable nuclear transport factor 2, transcript variant X2
Source: RNAcentral